Molecule: non-coding RNA, 137 nt
Organism: Ornithorhynchus anatinus (platypus)
Lineage: Eukaryota; Metazoa; Chordata; Mammalia; Monotremata; Ornithorhynchidae
Source: Rfam
UUUCCCUCAGGGUCGCAUCUGGAGAGUUUCGACUACUCUACCAGUCACGACUAUAGGAGGGAGAGUUAAGCAGAGGCAUAUCUGUUCCAUUCCUAGCUUGGCAGUAGCUAGCAAGUGGAAGACAAUCUGCUACAAGU